RNAcentral lists this microRNA precursor (193 nucleotides) under Ricinus communis (castor bean). RNAcentral describes it as "MIR159 microRNA precursor family". It matches the Rfam family "MIR159 microRNA precursor family". Lineage: Eukaryota; Viridiplantae; Streptophyta; Magnoliopsida; Malpighiales; Euphorbiaceae. The record is from Rfam by way of RNAcentral.
UUAGGCGUAAUGGUGCUCUCUUCACUCCUGUUGUAAAAGGAGGUGAUGGUAGGCCACGGCUGCUAGUUCAUGAAUACCCCUGGCUGCGCAGGAUUAAAGUAAUAAAGUUUGCGCAGGCUAAGGGUUUGCAUGACCUGGGAGACGUGGUUACCUUCUUCUUUUUUAUAUUGGAGUGAAGGGAGCUCUGUUGUCU